This 413-nucleotide ribosomal RNA is filed under the name uncultured bacterium. RNAcentral's name for it is "bacterial SSU rRNA". It matches the Rfam family "Bacterial small subunit ribosomal RNA", at positions 8 to 451 of the family's 1533-position model. The record is from RNAcentral.
AGAGUUUGAUCCUGGCUCAGAACGAACGCUGGCGGCAGGCUUAACACAUGCAAGUCGAGCGCCCCGCAAGGGGAGCGGCAGACGGGUGAGUAACGCGUGGGAAUCUACCCAUCCCUACGGAACAACUCCGGGAAACUGGAGCUAAUACCGUAUACGCCCUUAGGGGGAAAGAUUUAUCGGGGAUGGAUGAGCCCGCGUUGGAUUAGCUAGUUGGUGGGGUAAAGGCCUACCAAGGCGACGAUCCAUAGCUGGUCUGAGAGGAUGAUCAGCCACAUUGGGACUGAGACACGGCCCAAACUCCUACGGGAGGCAGCAGUGGGGAAUAUUGGACAAUGGGCGCAAGCCUGAUCCAGCCAUGCCGCGUGAGUGAUGAAGGCCUUAGGGUUGUAAAGCUCUUUCACCGGUGAAGAUAA